Molecule: non-coding RNA, 1409 nt
Filed under: Leucocryptos marina
Lineage: Eukaryota; Cryptophyceae; Kathablepharidacea; Katablepharidaceae
Description: bacterial SSU rRNA
Rfam family: Bacterial small subunit ribosomal RNA
Source: RNAcentral
GAGUUUGAUCCUGGCUCUGAGCGAACGCUUGAAGUAUGCUUAAUACAUGCGAGUGAAUAUUUUUUACAAAAAUGUUUGCGAACGGGUGAGUAUAAAGAAAAGAUUGCCUUUUUAUGUAAUACGUAUAAUUGAAUAUAUAAUUAGAUAUUUUUUCAUAAAGUUUAGAUAGGAGUAGUUCUUGUCAACGAUCUUUAGCUGGAUUGAAAGAUUGAUCAGCCACAAUGGGACUGAGACACGGCCCAUACUUCUUUGAAGGCAGCAGUAGGGAAUACUGGACAAUGGGCUAUGGCCUGAUCCGACAAUACUUCGUGAGUGACCAGAAGCUUUAGCGUAAAGCUCUUAUAUGGUGAGGAUAAUGACAGUAACCAUAGAAUAAGCACCGGCUAAUUUCGUGCCAGCAGCCGCGGUAAUACGGAAGGUGCAAGCGUUGCUCUUAUGAAUUCGGCGUAAAGGGAGCGUAGGUGGCUUUCAGUAAUAGAUAAUGUACCAUCAUAAUGUAUUCUUUAUUUAUAUAAAAAAGCUAGAGUUAUUUAAGCGGGUUGUGGUAUUUUUUGAGGAGAGAUGAAAUGCUAUGAUACUUUAGAGAACACCAAUGUUGAAGAAAGCAGCCUUAAUAUAACUGACGCUGAGGCUCGAAAGUGUAGGUAUCGACAGGGAUUAGAUACCCCUUUAGUCUACACCCUAAACUAUACACACUUGUAUUUAUAAAUAAAAGAUACGUCACUAACGUUUUAGUGUGUCGCCUGAGGAGUAUCAUCGCAAGGUUGAAACUUAAAGGAAUUGACGGGAACCGACACAAGUGGUGGAGCAUGUGGUUUAAUUCGAUGAUCCGCGCAAAACCUUACCAUUAUUUGAAUAAAAAUUAAGAAUGAGUAAAUUCAUUUGUUUAUUUUUACAGGUGCUGCAUGGCUGCCGUCAGCUCGUGUUUUGAAAUGUCAAGUUUAUUCUUGAAACGAGCGCAACCUUCAGUUUUUGUUAAGAAUAUCUUCUUUAGAUUUAAUCAAAAACGAUUUAUGACUUAUCUUUUUAAGAUGUCGGACCGAAAUGGAGAUCACGCCAAGUCCUCAUGACCUCUAUAUAAUGGGCUACUUUCAUGUGCUACAAGGAGAUUUACAAAAAAUAAAAUAAAAAAUCUCAAAGUUUGGAUUGUUUUCUGAAACUCGAAAACAUAAAAGAGGAAUCACUAGUAAUCGUAUAUCAGCACGAUACGGUGAAUAUGUACCUCGGUUUUGUACAUACCGCCCGUCACGCUUGGAGAGUUUGAUUGAUUUUAACAUAGUAUAGUUUAUUUUAAUAUGUUUUAUUUUUCACAAUUUCUAAUAAGUUUAUUAUGCAGAAGAUUUUGGAUGAUCGAAGCGAAGUCGUAACAAGGUUACCGUAGAGGAAUCUGUGGUUGGAAUAAUCUAUAC